This 73-nucleotide transfer RNA is filed under the name Nematostella vectensis (starlet sea anemone). Its description in RNAcentral is "tRNA-Lys". It matches the Rfam family "tRNA". From Rfam's summary of the family: Transfer RNA (tRNA) molecules are approximately 80 nucleotides in length. Their secondary structure includes four short double-helical elements and three loops (D, anti-codon, and T loops). Further hydrogen bonds mediate the characteristic L-shaped molecular structure. tRNAs have two regions of fundamental functional importance: the anti-codon, which is responsible for specific mRNA codon recognition, and the 3' end, to which the tRNAs corresponding amino acid is attached (by aminoacyl-tRNA synthetases). tRNAs cope with the degeneracy of the genetic code in two manners: having more than one tRNA (with a specific anti-codon) for a particular amino acid; and 'wobble' base-pairing, i.e. permitting non-standard base-pairing at the 3rd anti-codon position. The record is from Rfam by way of RNAcentral. Lineage: Eukaryota; Metazoa; Cnidaria; Anthozoa; Actiniaria; Edwardsiidae.
GCCCGGUUAGCUCAGAUGGUUGAGCAUCAGACUUUUAAUCUGAGGGUCAUGGGUUCGAGCCCCAUAUCGGGCG